RNA transcript from Gossypium raimondii (Peruvian cotton), 4044 nucleotides. RefSeq lists it as uncharacterized. The record is from RefSeq and is a predicted model, not a curated record. Lineage: Eukaryota; Viridiplantae; Streptophyta; Magnoliopsida; Malvales; Malvaceae. The transcript is spliced from 5 exons.
GAAGAAGCCAAGCCUAAAAAUACACAAGAUUUCUUCUCUCUAAUUUUUCUCUUCUUCUUCCUUACUCUAGUUUCUCUCCUCUCAUCCCUUUUUAUAUUCUUCUCCUUCCCUUUUCUAUUUCUAUUCGUAAAACAGGUAUAUAAGCUUCAGUCGAUUCUCAUGGCCAACAACGGUGUUACCUCGCGGUUGCAACAGGAUGUGGGCAUUUUGCAGCAGAAGAUAGUGAAUAUCCAAAGAGAGUUGUCCCAACUCGAUGCUAAGUUGGAUGCCAAGUUAGAGGCCAGAUUCAAGGAGUUUAAGGAUGAGCUCAUGGGUGAGCUACGAUAUGAGCUUCAGUCAUCGUUUAAGCAGUAUUUGGGGUACCAAAAUCCUACUACUAGCAACGCAGCAACCUUAGCUAAAGGGUUUCAUUUUUUCUGUUUAGUACGGGAUGGGAAGGUAUCAGAGUCGGAGAAAAAGCUACAGUCCUCGUCGUCGUAGCCAGAGUCUCGCUCGUGGAAGGAAGAGGUACGAUGAUGAACCUCGCGAUCACCAGCGAUCUCACCGUGACCACCGUCGCCGCUCCCCUCUCCCUUCUGGUUUGCUCAUUCACAAUCUCCCUCUCGACACUAGGUUUUGUAUUCGAUUACUUGUCCUAUGAAUGUGUUAGAAGAGAGGAAAUUUGACUAACACCGUUCAUGAGCAUAUAAGCAACAGAGCUUGGGUUUUUUUUCGAUUUGGCACAAGCCCAUCAGUUGAACUGCCAUUAUUGAGGUUUCUGCUUAGUUCAACUAGGGUUUUUCUUUUUCCUACUUCGGUACUUCCUUCCUCAUUCUAUCUCGAUUUCUCCCUCUUUCUCCCCCAAAUGACGAAGUUCAGGAAGCUUAAUCGACCCACUGGUCAUCGCAUGUCCAUGCUCAGAACAAUGGUUUCCCAGUUGGUAAAGCACGAGCGCAUUGAAACUACUGUUGCGAGGGUUCUUUUCUUUUAAGCAUGUCUUUGAUUUGCUGGGGUUUUGAUGCGUUUCCUUACUUUGUUAUAUUGAUUAAUCUUUCUAGUUCCUUUGCUUUUAAGUCCUUAUUUCUGUUGUUGGGUUUCUCUUAACUGAGUCAUUAAAUCUGUGUUUUAUUUGUUUUACUUGAAUUUAUCUAAUUUCCUGUUUCUUUACCCAAUUUCGAAAGAUUCAGUAGCAUCGGUAAAUAAUUUACUUUCUCUACUCAUUCAAAAUUAUGAUGAUGAUGAUAACGCUGUUUGAAUUUUUAGAAAUUUAUGAAUGCUGAUUUGAUAUUUUAAUUUCUGAAUUUUGUUGAAUUAUGAAUGCUUGGUGCCAAAUUUUUUUUUCCUUUUUAUUUCUUUUAUGUAUUUUUCGUGCAGUUGAUAAUAUAAUUGCAUGCUAGAAUAUUUGUGAUAGGAAAAAGGAACAUGAUUUUAUACUUUUGGGUUACUAGCAUUUUUUCUAUAUAGUUUUCUCUUCCUAUUUUUUCAUGCAUGUCAUUAUGAUGGCAUAUUAGACGGUAUUGGUGAAUGUGUAAGAAUUCUGUUUUGAUACGGCCGUGCCCGAGCACAAUCUUGGACCAGCUCUCAAAGCGUUGCUUGCAAUCCUUUGCAAGCUGAAUUAGUUCGAUUCUAGCUCGUUGAGCUCAAUUCGGCUCGUUUCCAGCUCAAUGAGCUUGUUUGCUCGUUUUGAGCUUACUUUAAUUUCUAUAAUUUAGUUGCUGGAAUAAAAUAAAUGCCAAUUAGUUUAUUCAGCUUAAAUAAUUAAAUUGCAUUUUUAAUUCUGGACGUUUUAAUUAGAAGUGUUUAAAUGUGUCUAAAGUUGAGACAAAUUAAUUUCGUGUUUUAAUUAAUUUGUCUUAGCUGCUGUUGAGUUUAAUUUGAGUCUUAAUUAAUAUUUGUUUUAAUAUGUCUAGUUACAGUAUUUUAAUGUGUCUUUAGCUGAACAUUUUAAAUACAGGUUUUUAAAUGUGUCUUAGUUUCUUUGUGUUUAAUAUGUCCUAGUUAUUAUCAGCUUUAAUGUGCCCUAGCUGAAUGCAUCAUUUUAAUGUGUUUUAGUUGCUGAAUUAAUGUGUCUAAAAGAGAAUUAAUUUGUUGAAUUUAUUGGAUGCAGGUACCAUGCAUGGACGACAUUUAAAAGAGUGAGCUGCUGAUUGCUCUCCUCCAAGUGACCAUUCGGUCAUUGCAACAGCCACAAGUAGCUGAUGCUUAUUCUUCCCAAAUUGGCCGGCUAGCUCCCCAAAGCUACCUUGAAAGCUUUCACACCUGCUGCACAUUCCGUUCACAAAGCUUUCACAUCACAAGGCUUUCCAGAUUUUUGUUUUCACACACACAAGGCUGUUUGCAUUCGGUUUCAUACUUGGAUGACCAUUACAAUACUCAAGCUACCAAUUAAAGCUCCUAAACUAUUCAGCUGAACAAGGAGUUUCAAUUAAAGCCAUUCAAGCACCUGAACCAAAUCUACAAAGUCAUUUCAGCUCAAUUCAGCUCCUACUUAAUUUCAUUCAUGCCCAGGUGAUUGAAGGCUUCUAGAAUCUGCCCAUUGAUGUAUCCCAAGCUAGGAAGUUUCAAAGAACCUUCAAGUGACGUUCUAGGAAGUUGCCAAGAACUUUCAAGUUCAUUUAUUUGCUGCAUGCUGUCCAUUAGGCUAUCUAAAGUGCCUAUUCGGCUAGCCUAGCCAUUUUUACUAUAAAUACUUAGCUAGUUGCUGUUUGUAGGGAUUUUUGAACCUUUAUUUAAUGUUUAUACAUUUUGUGAGUUCCUCAACUCUCUUAUUUCGUUUUAGACUCAGCUAGACUUAUCUAGCUUGCUAAUGGCGUCUUCCUUGUUUCUUCGAACUUAUCACUCAAUCCCGAGUGUGGCGUUCAACCAUUUGAUACCUCUGGUUCCUAACUCUUAUAGUUAGCGGGUCAAGGUCCUUUUCAUCACCUUUAAGUGUCUUAUAAGAUUUCGGGUUAGUACACCAUUUUAGUAUUGGUUCCUUCUUGACCUUAAAGCCAUUCGAGCCAACCGCAAAUCCAUCUUCAAACAACCUUUAGCCUCUUCACUUAACCGAAUCCAUUACAUAUCAUACUUAGCUGAAUUUAACCCCUUUAUUUUAAAUCGAGCGAUACUUCUCAUUUUAACAAUUGGGCACGUUAACGACUCGACUCACAUCACCGAGCCGGUUCGCAUCAUGUUUGCAGUUGAUCAUGCCGGUAUUGAGGGGAAUGCACAAAAUGGACCAGUUGUGAAAUUACCUUUUGCAUCCCUAUUUGAUACCCUUGGCAUUUGUCUUUCUAUUCUAUUAUCAAUAUGUGAAUGAGUAAAAUUACCUCUAUGAGAUUAUUAAAGAUUGCUUUUUGUGGAUUAUGAUGUAUUCAUAGUGGGCAAAUCUGGGUAAUAAGUUUGUGUGACUGCUUUAUUACUGUUAGUUUUUGCUAACAUUUUGCCAAAAAUGGGUUCUAUUCCUUGGUAAUUGUUGUUGGCUUUCUUUUCCCCAUUUUUCUUUUGUUUCUUAAUUGAUUUUGUUUAAAACUGUUCUAUAAAGAAAAUUGACUUAAGUUUAGACUUCUAUUUUAUGGACCAUCUGUCCUUCGCAUAGCUGUGAACUUUGAUUGACACAAAUGCUUUGCCACUUGUCACUAUAUUCGGAAUCAAUAUUCUAUCUCUCAUGGCUUCUCUCUCAUUCUUGUUUUUGGUACUAAUUUACUUCUUUUUUUUUCAGAAGUUUGCUUUGAAUUUGAGAAAAUUUAAGCUUAUUAAAAGAGUAAGAUGGCAUCCACUUUCACAGCCAUGUCAUCAGUUGGCUCAUUCGUUGCACCUAAUGGUCUGGUCAUGGAUAAGAAGCUUUCAUCUUCUUCCAACAGAUUGUCAUCUUUAGCAUCCAUUUCUUCAUCUUCAUUUCUUAGUAGAAGAAAUGUUGUUCUUAGAAGAUCUCGUCUGCCCAAGAUUUCUGCAGCAAAAGAGCUACAUUUCAAUAAGGAUGGGUCAGCCAUAAAGAAAUUACAAUUGAGUCUUUAUUUCAAAUGCUAAAAAUUUUCCUAACUGGUUAAGCAUUCAACUGAACUUCACAGCCUUUAUAAGUUUGCU